This 76-nucleotide transfer RNA is filed under the name Coprobacillus sp. AF16-47. RNAcentral's name for it is "tRNA-Asn". It matches the Rfam family "tRNA". From Rfam's summary of the family: Transfer RNA (tRNA) molecules are approximately 80 nucleotides in length. Their secondary structure includes four short double-helical elements and three loops (D, anti-codon, and T loops). Lineage: Bacteria; Bacillati; Bacillota; Erysipelotrichia; Erysipelotrichales; Coprobacillaceae. The record is from RNAcentral.
GCUUGAAUAGCUCAGUUGGUAGAGCAAUCGGCUGUUAACCGAUCAGUCGUAGGUUCGAGUCCUACUUCAAGCGCCA